UACAGCCACAUCAUGUUGAAACACCAGUUCCCACACAAUCACUGAAGUUAAGCAACAUUGAGAUUAGUCAGUACCUAGAUGGGUGACCACAUGGGAAUACCAGUGUGCUGUAAG
Acanthosepion pharaonis is the source of this 114-nucleotide non-coding RNA. NCBI's taxonomy places the organism in Eukaryota, Metazoa, Mollusca, Cephalopoda, Sepiida, Sepiidae. The record is from the annotation of a GenBank genome assembly.